This 363-nucleotide long non-coding RNA is filed under the name Homo sapiens (human). Its description in RNAcentral is "HSALNT0204852". The record is from RNAcentral. Lineage: Eukaryota; Metazoa; Chordata; Mammalia; Primates; Hominidae.
GUAAGAAGAGCCUAGCGCCAGCAAAAGGUCACAAGACUCUGACCAAGACAGAGAAGAUUCACUGCCUGCCUGAGAUUGCACAUGUAGCUCCUGCCACAAGAAGACUUUGAUCACCACUUGCUCUUCCCCUGAUUUCCCUGAUAAACUCUGGUAUGGAGCCACCAUUUGAAGAGGUAGCCUUUGCAUUGUGAUGCUACCAUUUUGCACUCUCACAAGAAAGAGAUGAGAUCUCCUGUUGCUCUGCAUCCUGACCAGCAUAUAGCUUCAGAGUUGUACUACCACUGAUGGCAGCGGUGGCUGGUGUGGAACAGCCGCUGUGAAGAUGCUGGCUGCAGCAUGGGAGGCAUGACCAGGGCUGCAGAC